GAUGAACGCUGGCGGCGUGCCUAAUACAUGCAAGUCGAGCGAACAGACGAGGAGCUUGCUCCUCUGACGUUAGCGGCGGACGGGUGAGUAACACGUGGAUAACCUACCUAUAAGACUGGGAUAACUUCGGGAAACCGGAGCUAAUACCGGAUAAUAUAUUGAACCGCAUGGUUCAAUAGUGAAAGACGGUUUUGCUGUCACUUAUAGAUGGAUCCGCGCCGCAUUAGCUAGUUGGUAAGGUAACGGCUUACCAAGGCAACGAUGCGUAGCCGACCUGAGAGGGGGAUCGGCCACACUGGAACUGAGACACGGUCCAGACUCCUACGGGAGGCAGCAGUAGGGAAUCUUCCGCAAUGGGCGAAAGCCUGACGGAGCAACGCCGCGUGAGUGAUGAAGGUCUUCGGAUCUUAAAACUCUGUUAUUAGGGAAGAACAAAUGUGUAAGUAACUAUGCACGUCUUGACGGUACCUAAUCAGAAAGCCACGGCUAACUACGUG
This 497-nucleotide ribosomal RNA is filed under the name uncultured bacterium. RNAcentral describes it as "partial 16S ribosomal RNA". It matches the Rfam family "Bacterial small subunit ribosomal RNA", at positions 28 to 507 of the family's 1533-position model. The record is from RNAcentral.